GGGUAACUGUUUUGCAGUCGUAAAAAGAAAAUGCUCUGAGAGUUGACAAAUCUAAACUGAUACACAAAUUUAUAAUUUCAAGAAGCUAGAGGAACAAAACAAUCUUUUCUGUUGCUCAAUUUCCUUUCCCCAAACAUUAUGACUUAACAGGACCAAGAUGCAAGAAAUUGUCCUCAAGAAUUGGAGAACAGCAACAAGGUUAAUGAGAAAUAUAAUCAAAC
RNAcentral lists this unclassified non-coding RNA (221 nucleotides) under Hevea brasiliensis (rubber tree). Lineage: Eukaryota; Viridiplantae; Streptophyta; Magnoliopsida; Malpighiales; Euphorbiaceae. The record is from RNAcentral.